GACGAACGCUGGCGGCGUGCUUCAUACAUGCAAGUCGAACGAGAAGCUGACUUCGGUCAGUGGAAAGUGGCGGACGGGUGCGUAAUAUGUAGGAAAUCUGCCUUUAGGAGGGGGACAACAGAGGGAAACUUCUGCUAAUACCCCAUAUGAGCGUAGCUGAAAUGCUAUUCUUGAAAACUCCGGUGCCUAAAGAUGAGCCUGCAUCUGAUUAGCUAGUUGGUAGUGUACUGGACUACCAAGGCGACGAUCAGUAGCUGGGUAGAGAGGAUGAUCAGCCACAAUGGGACGGAGACACGGCCAAGACUCCUACGGGAGGGAGCAGUAGGCAAUUUUGCGCAAUGGGCGAAAGCCUGACGCAGCAACGGCGCGUGAACGAUUAAGCCCUUCGGGGUGUAAAGUUCUGUGAGUGGGGACGAAACUUGACGGUACCCACAGAGGAAGCACCGGCUAACUCCGUG
This 458-nucleotide ribosomal RNA is filed under the name uncultured bacterium. RNAcentral's name for it is "partial 16S ribosomal RNA". It matches the Rfam family "Bacterial small subunit ribosomal RNA", at positions 28 to 507 of the family's 1533-position model. The record is from RNAcentral.